This 469-nucleotide ribosomal RNA is filed under the name uncultured bacterium. RNAcentral describes it as "partial 16S ribosomal RNA". It matches the Rfam family "Bacterial small subunit ribosomal RNA", at positions 28 to 507 of the family's 1533-position model. The record is from RNAcentral.
GACGAACGCUGGCGGCGUGCUUAACACAUGCAAGUCGAACGGAAAGGCCCUGCUUGCAGGGUGCUCGAGUGGCGAACGGGUGAGUAACACGUGGGUGAUCUGCCCCUUACUUUGGGAUAAGCCUGGGAAACUGGGUCUAAUACUGGAUAGGACCAUGCUGUAGGUGGUGUGGUGGAAAGAUUAGUUUCGGUAAGGGAUGAGCUCGCGGCCUAUCAGCUUGUUGGUGGGGUAAUGGCCUACCAAGGCGUCGACGGGUAGCCGGCCUGAGAGGGUGGACGGCCACAUUGGGACUGAGGUACGGCCCAGACGCCUACGGGAGGCAGCAGUGGGGAAUAUUGCACAAUGGGCGCAAGCCUGAUGCAGCGACGCCGCGUGGGGGAUGACGGCCUUCGGGUUGUAAACUCCUUUCAGCCAUGACGAAGCCCUUGUGGUGACGGUAGUGGUAGAAGAAGCACCGGCUAACUACGUG